AAGAUUAUGGCAGAAAGGUAAUGCGACUGCCUUGAAACCAGUUUACGGGGGUUCGACUCCCUCUUUUCUUG
Non-coding RNA from Dicentrarchus labrax (European seabass), 71 nucleotides. NCBI's taxonomy places the organism in Eukaryota, Metazoa, Chordata, Actinopteri, Moronidae. The record is from the annotation of a RefSeq genome assembly.